CGGGUGAGUAACACGUGGAUGACCUACCUAUAAGACUGGGAUAACUUCGGGAAACCGGAGCUAAUACCGGAUAAUAUUUUGAACCGCAUGGUUCAAAAGUGAAAGACGGUCUUGCUGUCACUUAUAGAUGGAUCCGCGCUGCAUUAGCUAGUUGGUAAGGUAACGGCUUACCAAGGCAACGAUGCAUAGCCGACCUGAGAGGGUGAUCGGCCACACUGGAACUGAGACACGGUCCAG
RNAcentral lists this ribosomal RNA (237 nucleotides) under uncultured Staphylococcus sp. RNAcentral describes it as "partial 16S ribosomal RNA". It matches the Rfam family "Bacterial small subunit ribosomal RNA", at positions 103 to 334 of the family's 1533-position model. The record is from RNAcentral. Lineage: Bacteria; Bacillati; Bacillota; Bacilli; Caryophanales; Staphylococcaceae.